AGAAUCAACGCUGGCGGCGUGCCUCAGACAUGCAAGUCGAACGCGAAAGUCCCCUUCGGGGGGCAAGUAGAGUGGCGCACGGGUGAGUAACACGUAGGUAAUCUACCUUUGGAUGGGGAAUAACAACCGGAAACGGUUGCUAAUACCGCAUAAUGCAGCGGCACCUAAUGGUGACAGUUGUUAAAGCGGGGGAUCGAAAGACCUCGCGUCUGAAGAGGAGCCUGCGGCGGCUUAGCUAGUUGGUAAGGUAAUGGCUUACCAAGGCUACGAUCC
This 273-nucleotide ribosomal RNA is filed under the name uncultured soil bacterium. RNAcentral's name for it is "partial 16S ribosomal RNA". It matches the Rfam family "Bacterial small subunit ribosomal RNA", at positions 26 to 282 of the family's 1533-position model. The record is from RNAcentral.